Long non-coding RNA from Oncorhynchus tshawytscha (Chinook salmon), 749 nucleotides. Lineage: Eukaryota; Metazoa; Chordata; Actinopteri; Salmoniformes; Salmonidae. The record is from Ensembl.
AGAUUAGGGAUGAGCUCGUGGACAGCGAGGGAUUCACUGUUGCCGUGGAAACCAGAUUCCUGGAUACCUGGGAGCGCCUCUCGGGGCAUGGCAGAGCUUGUGGAUGCAGGGUUGGUAAAAGCCAUUGGAAUCUCCAAUUUCAACAGCCAUCCAACUGAAUCCAUUCUGAACACACCAGGCCUCAAGAACAAACCUGCCAACAACCAGGGUCAAACCAGACAACCCCUGUUUAUUUCAAGACCCAAACAUCAAGGACAUAACUGAGAAGCACCAGAGGACUAUAUCUCAGGUGUUUGACUUUGAACUGAGCAAAGAGGACAUAAGGACCAUGUUAUUACUGAACAGGAACUACAGAGUCUUUCCUCUGCCCUCAUACGGGGCUGAAGCACAAAGACUACCCCUUCAGUGAUGAAUUUGAAGAGGCACGUAUACCCGCCAUUGAAGUCUCCAGCUUCACUCCAUUACAGAUCACAUUCUACCUAAUCUUAAUAUGGAUGGAGGGCCCUCCCCUGUGCUGUCAAUCAUAUUGAAUUAUUUAUAUUCAUUAUAAUCACAAGAACAAUAUAGUACAUAAAUUGUAUGCAUAACAUGUUGCAGAAAACAUUUAUAUAGCCUGGCCUAUAAUUUAAGAUUCUCAAAGAUUGUUAUUGUCACUGUUGUUCUCAUUUCAUUGUCUCAUAGCUAAUUUAACACUAAAUAUUUAAUGAACACAGAUUAGUAUUUGUGAGAAUAAAACAAACAUUCUCACU